This 684-nucleotide ribosomal RNA is filed under the name Buttiauxella sp. 110518_136_C_D1. RNAcentral describes it as "bacterial SSU rRNA". It matches the Rfam family "Bacterial small subunit ribosomal RNA", at positions 69 to 746 of the family's 1533-position model. Lineage: Bacteria; Pseudomonadati; Pseudomonadota; Gammaproteobacteria; Enterobacterales; Enterobacteriaceae. RNAcentral also lists the same sequence under 1 other name. The record is from RNAcentral.
CACAGGAGAGCUUGCUCUCUGGGUGACGAGCGGCGGACGGGUGAGUAAUGUCUGGGAAACUGCCCGAUGGAGGGGGAUAACUACUGGAAACGGUAGCUAAUACCGCAUAACGUCUUCGGACCAAAGAGGGGGACCUUCGGGCCUCUUGCCAUCGGAUGUGCCCAGAUGGGAUUAGCUAGUAGGUGGGGUAAUGGCUCACCUAGGCGACGAUCCCUAGCUGGUCUGAGAGGAUGACCAGCCACACUGGAACUGAGACACGGUCCAGACUCCUACGGGAGGCAGCAGUGGGGAAUAUUGCACAAUGGGCGCAAGCCUGAUGCAGCCAUGCCGCGUGUAUGAAGAAGGCCUUCGGGUUGUAAAGUACUUUCAGCGAGGAGGAAGGCGUUGCGGUUAAUAACCGCAGCGAUUGACGUUACUCGCAGAAGAAGCACCGGCUAACUCCGUGCCAGCAGCCGCGGUAAUACGGAGGGUGCAAGCGUUAAUCGGAAUUACUGGGCGUAAAGCGCACGCAGGCGGUCUGUCAAGUCGGAUGUGAAAUCCCCGGGCUCAACCUGGGAACUGCAUUCGAAACUGGCAGGCUAGAGUCUUGUAGAGGGGGGUAGAAUUCCAGGUGUAGCGGUGAAAUGCGUAGAGAUCUGGAGGAAUACCGGUGGCGAAGGCGGCCCCCUGGACAAAGACUGACGC